This 30-nucleotide non-coding RNA is filed under the name Homo sapiens (human). The record is from RNAcentral. Lineage: Eukaryota; Metazoa; Chordata; Mammalia; Primates; Hominidae.
CAGCAAACAUUUUUGGAGUGCCUACACUGU